CGGACGAGCAACACGCUCCAGCAUCCGAGCUGCAGGGCCGGAUAUUCGCACACGUGUGCAAACAAAACCCAAUAUCCGUAAAGUUCUUCGUUAACUGAACUGAUCAUACAUAUACCCCCACACGAGUAAAGGAUAACGUGCUUCUGGUCUGCAAUCUGCUGUAUCCGACGAGCACCAUCAACAACGUCGAUGGUACGUUCGGUACAAUCUUUCAUAUAACGAAUCUAGCACGAGCACCAAGAUGUGUCGCUACGGCACGAACUGCUCGUGAGUUGAUUAUCACUUUGCACAUCCACGCAAAUCCUCGCCCUGCGUCAUAUCACCAGUCCCGGCCGGAGGGGCGGCCGCUACACACGGUAUGCAAAAGUCCUGGUUCCCGCUUAGCUUCCGGAUGCUGCUCGACGAAACUCGAGAUUAGUUCGCUCAGGACGACCUCAAAUGGGGAACCAGCAACAAUCCCGAUACUGUCGAUCGAAUUCCCUCUUAGUUCAACCCAUCCACAGACACCCUCCGAAUGUAUAGCGAUCGAGGCUGACUCCAUCGUGGAGCUGAUCGAUUUUCACGAUAGCCUAGUGGCCACAUCUUCUCAGACACCGACCUUCGAGGCGUUCCCCGAUGAUGACUGUGAAGGAAGUGGUUUGAUUAUGCCCGAUCUUCUCGACACAGUUGAAUCCAUCUACGAACUGGCGAUCACCUAUGAUACCAUCCCGUCGCCUUAGCUGAAGCAUGACUGCAGUUCCGGUGUGUUUGCUACCUCUAUUGAAGAGUCCGAUCUGGAGCUGAUCCACGACUGCCAGAUUGAGCGGAUGUAUCAGUUGGAUCCAACCGAUCGCUUCGAUUUAUGUCCAUCGGAUAUCGCCUUACGACGUUUCUUGCUGUACCACGGCAGCAGACAUGCCUCAGGAAGGUGGCGGCAAGCAUUCGAACGGAUCGAAACCACCGCUGGUAGAAAUUACGACCAACAAGUUGGCCCUCCGUCCAUGCACGUUAGAACUACAGAUUGCGAAAGCUUAUGAAGACGCUCGAAUCAAACGGAAUACUGUUCAACCGUUUUCCCAGAAACGGCACAACCGCUUUGCCAGUGGAUUUACCACCGUACCAGGCCUCGCUGUGCAAUUUGUCGUUCAUCCGCUGGCUGGAGGCAGUGAUCGAACAGCUCAACUCCGUCAUUGAGUACAGCUCCGAUGGACGACCCGAUCGACAAAUCGCUGCCUUCGGGCACACUUUACCAUUGGCCACCAUCUACGGAAACCGGAAGUAGUAUAGCAACAUCCUACAUCCCAGUUAUUCAAGUUUGCAAACCACAACAGGCUUCUUCACGUCUUCGUAACCUAACCCAAUAGCGCUGUGCUUCGAAAAACACUUUAUCUGUUGUGCCAGUGGCCAGUUAACAGCUAUCUAGAUCGAGGUUCCCCCAGUACGGCCACAACUGUACGUCAUCAUUACCAUCGUUACACCGUUAACAGCUAUGCUGCAGCCCAUUUACCUAUCUUCUCUCUUUGCUCAAAUUGAAAAAGAAUUGCAAGAGUUGUACUUUAAACAUGUGGCACUUCGCAAAAAACUCGAUGCCAUAGCCGGUUCUCUAUGUGAUUCAAUGAUUCGACGAGAGCGACCCAAUGCAGGAUACGUUCGAGGUGACAUGAGCUUCUAAUCGAAGCUGGGCACAAUCGGUCGUCAGCUCCGUGGUGUGCGGUAGAUGAGCACCAUGUCGACCAGCUAAUCAUCGGUACCGCUUCGGCCGAUCAUCCGGCGUGCAUCGAUACGGGCCGCUGCUUGCUGCAGUACAAGGGUCACAGUGCUCCGAUCAUCUCGAUACGGUUCCAUUCGACGCGUGAUAUCGUGCUGACGGGUAUUGGUGACGCGACGAUGGCACUGUGCGAUAUUGCAGGUGGCCAUCAAUUAGGACUCCAUUCACCUGCUCAUUAUCGAAAGUCGCUCUGCGGAGGAGUAUCUGGAGGACGAAGACGACUCGUAUAUAGAGCACGAGUGCACUGAUCUGCUACGGACCCCGUUGUGUGAGUUUUCCGGUCAAGGCGGUCACAAGGCGGUGGGGGAUGAACUGUUCUUUCGGAUGAAGCAGAGCAACUCAAUCCACCUGCUAACAAUCCAAGACAUGUUUAAGUAUGCGAAAUUAGAGCCCUUUUUAUUUUACAUUUCUAUUUGAUCCCCAUACACCAAUCAUAGUACAAUGUAAUGCAACGCAAUCGCAACUAUUUCCAUUAGCGGUAUUAGCGCCUGCCUAACCGAACUAAUCUCGCGGCCAUAGAUUUUUCGCAUGUUUCCGUCUAUAUACAUUACUCUAACUAUUUUAAAUGUAUCGGUUAAGAACCAUCUAUCGUGAUCUUCACACGAAAGCUUGUACGUGGGCAUAAAUAGUACUGUGCCUCCAUUUUCCUUCCUAAAAUCGGGGUACAGGUCGUUUAUAUCCUCGCCCCAUGAUUUAUUAACCACUGCUUCUGCUGUCCUCACUGUUGGGUUUCCCUCACAUGUUGCCGCUACCUCUUUGAGAAAGUAGAAAGAUUGUUCAAACCGACUAGUCGAGUUACUUUCCAAAUUGCCGUCCCUGCGGACACUGGCCGGCAUAUAGAGUAGUAGAUGUGCCGACAAUGGAAUGCUGUUCCCAUCACUCUUUAAACAUGCAUUAAAUUCGUUUAGCAUUUCUUCUGCUCUAUCUAUGUUGCCUUUAUAAAUAUUGUAACUUAGAAUUCUUAUAGCAAGGAAUAAUCGCAAAAAAAUUCUAUUGGUCGAGGUGUCUCGGUUCAUGAACCACACAAGUAUAUAAUUAAAUAUUAUUUCGAAGUGUAGUCUAGUUAACUCGCUCCUUUUGCUUAACCCAUUAAUAUCGUGUUUCUUGAGCUCGGUAGGCAACUGAAACGCAAAUUUUUUAAGGAUUUGGAAAAUUGCGGCAUUGACCAUGUACUUCUCGAAUAUCUUAGGAAAAAUAUUUCCAUAGACUAGAUGUAACACGUCCGUGCACGACACAUCCAACACUAAGUCAAGUCCCAGCAUAUGUCGAAAAGGUGCAAGUUUCACCUGGUGUGGAGUCACUGGCUCAUCUCCGUCUUUCUUACCCCGUUAGUUCUUACCCCGUUAGUUCUCACCCCGUUAGUUCUUACACCUUUGCACAAGUCCAUAGCCUGUUAUAAUAGCUCGCGCUUCUAGGUCCACUAGGCAACGUUUCACGCAGACCUCGAACUGUCGAACGUUUAUGGCGAGUUUCGUGCAUUCCAGUAUGUAAGCGUUGCGCGCGAAUGUUUCAAAGAAAAAAAUCCGGUGGCUGCGAUCUCAUCGUACUGCUGCAUAACGAAACCUCUUGCGUCCCGUGCUGUUCCUGGCCCUUCACUUCUAGCGAAAUGACCCAUGUCGUAUAUUUGACUCCAUGACUGUUCACCUGCUCGGUCCAAUCCACGUGGCACCUCAAAUGGAUGGUGUUCCCUCGUAGAAAUAGUACAAUUUUUGUUAAAGCUACGACUGGCAAUGAGAUGAGAACAUAUUAAUUACAUAUUAGAAGAACCAACGGUGGUUCCGUUGAAUGAAAAUAUUAAAACCAAUAUACUUACCGAGGACAUAAUGCCAAUACUCGCUGUUCCAUUCCGUCACCACUUCUAUUGGUGUGGCAUGUGGCUGAACUGUAGAAUUACAGUACAAAUGGUCCUCAUCGCUUUCAUCAGAUUGCAGAUUAUGCAAUAAACAUUCAAACCGAGCUAAAAUGUCGGCAAACUGGGCACCAUGCGUCUGUAGAAGAAUAUAAAAUUAUGAAACAUUUUCUCUAUUACUAACCAGAAUGUUGUUAAAUUGCAACAGUAUUCUCCUUUAGCCGGCCCGUUUUGCUAAACAUUUUAGCACAUGCAUCGUGCUGGAAAUUCAAAUUGGUGGCAGGACACUUUUUCUUGUUGGUGGUUUUUAGGAAUAAACGGACAGUCGAACAACGGCAGGAAACGGAAAAAGGGAAAGUCGCGCGCGUACGAAAAUUGAAUUCCGCCGAUAUUCUACUCAUAGCCUUCUACUUCUUCAACUUCCAUCUUCGUCACCAAGGGAAACAUGUUUACUCCGGGGGUAAAUAGAUUCCAAAGCGUGCUAUCUUCAAAGUUAAUUUUGUGAAGAAGAGCAAGUACAAUGCGCAGCAUUUGCGGAAGGCCUUUUUAGGGAAAAUGUGAGCGGAGAGUCGCGUGGUGCCUUCCACGCGGACCGGGCGGAUGAAGAUUGUUGUGGUUAUUAUCGGAAUGAAGCGAGCAAGGUUGAAUGAAACAAAGGGAUGGAAAGCUUAUCAAGAC
Long non-coding RNA from Anopheles aquasalis, 4274 nucleotides. RefSeq lists it as uncharacterized. The record is from RefSeq and is a predicted model, not a curated record. Lineage: Eukaryota; Metazoa; Arthropoda; Insecta; Diptera; Culicidae.